This 284-nucleotide unclassified non-coding RNA is filed under the name Archaeospora ecuadoriana. Its description in RNAcentral is "partial contains 5.8S ribosomal RNA and internal transcribed spacer 2". The stretch from base 1 to 71 matches the Rfam family "5.8S ribosomal RNA", at positions 84 to 154 of the family's 154-position model. The record is from RNAcentral. Lineage: Eukaryota; Fungi; Glomeromycota; Glomeromycetes; Archaeosporales; Archaeosporaceae.
GUGAAUCAUCGAAUCUUUGAACGCAUAUUGCACCAUCUGGUAUUCCGGAGAGUAUGCCUAUUUGAUGGUCAUUUGAAAUAAUAUAAAUUGCGAGAUUUUCUUGAAAUCAAAAAUGGGUCGGUCCAUCUUUCGUGUGGUGGUCGCCUAAAAUGCAAGACAAACUCAUUUCUUGGGUUGCGUGAUACUUUCAGUUACCUCGUAACUUCACAAAAAAUAUUCGAGCGUGUUAAGAAUUGUGAAAGAACUAAAAUGAAGUUAUCUCUGUCUCAAUAUUAAAUUGAAUC